UAGGGAAUCUUCCACAAUGGACGCAAGUCUGAUGGAGCAACGCCGCGUGAGUGAAGAAGGUUUUCGGAUCGUAAAGCUCUGUUGUUGGUGAAGAAGGAUAGAGGCAGUAACUGGUCUUUAUUUGACGGUAAUCAACCAGAAAGUCACGGCUAACUACGUGCCAGCAGCCGCGGUAAUACGUAGGUGGCAAGCGUUGUCCGGAUUUAUUGGGCGUAAAGCGAGCGCAGGCGGAAUGAUAAGUCUGAUGUGAAAGCCCACGGCUCACCGUGGAACUGCAUCGGAAACUGUCAUUCUUGAGUGCAGAAGAGGAGAGUGGAACUCCAUGUGUAGCGGUGGAAUGCGUAGAUAUAUGGAAGAACACCAGUGGCGAAGGCGGCUCUCUGGUCUGCAACUGACGCUGAGGCUCGAAAGCAUGGGUAGCGAACAGGAUUAGAUACCCUGGUAGUCCAUGCCGUAAACGAUGAGCGCUAGGUGUUGGG
RNAcentral lists this ribosomal RNA (479 nucleotides) under uncultured bacterium. Its description in RNAcentral is "partial 16S ribosomal RNA". It matches the Rfam family "Bacterial small subunit ribosomal RNA", at positions 355 to 827 of the family's 1533-position model. The record is from RNAcentral.